AGUGAACGCUGGCGGUAGGCCUAACACAUGCAAGUCGAACGGCAGCACAGCAGUAGCAAUACUGUGGGUGGCGAGUGGCGGACGGGUGAGGAAUACAUCGGAAUCUACCUUUUCGUGGGGGAUAACGUAGGGAAACUUACGCUAAUACCGCAUAAGACCUUCGGGUGAAAGCCGGGACCUUCGGCCUGGCGCGGAUAGAU
Molecule: ribosomal RNA, 200 nt
Filed under: uncultured bacterium
Lineage: Bacteria
Description: partial 16S ribosomal RNA
Rfam family: Bacterial small subunit ribosomal RNA
Source: RNAcentral